GUGAGGCUCUCAGACUGGAAGAAUUUCAAUUUAAACAUUUAAAUAGAUCUCCUUUGCUGACCACCAUAGCACAGUUUCUUUUUAUUUCACUGGCAUGAAUGACGAGGAUAAUCCAGUUGGGCCUAUAUAAGAACGGUGGGCGGCCGUCUGUAACAGCACCCAGGCGGAUCGGUCAAAUCUCUCAGGACCUUCAGCCAAAUUGGUGAAUUUGAACAUGAACCGUUCACUGGGGAUCGACUUUAUUGUCGAUGUUGCUGUCGCAAUAGUUGUCAUCAUCAUGGCGCCCAACGAAGCUGCUGCCAUAGACGGCGAUUUUGUCAAUCCGUUGGGCCGCAAGAAGUGAACCAAUGCUAACGGAGAUGAAGUCGUUCCUCUUUUUCGACUCGCAUGAAUUCUCACUCAUGUGGAAUAAAAUAGUUUAGCAAACACGAAAGGGCUCCUGCUUGCACAAGU
Molecule: long non-coding RNA, 453 nt
Organism: Rhipicephalus sanguineus (brown dog tick)
Lineage: Eukaryota; Metazoa; Arthropoda; Arachnida; Ixodida; Ixodidae
Exons: 3
Source: RefSeq, a predicted model, not a curated record